CUCCGAAAAAUCACCAUGAUAAGCUAAGAGGACUGUUUCUGCAAGCAAGACAUUCCAACAUGAAAGGAUAAAAAAUAUCAUUGAAAACCUUACAUUGCCAUAUUAUUGGGAAGCCAUUCUCACCUCAUGCAAUCAUUUCUUAAGUCAGUGAAAAGAAAAGCAUUUCUGCUUUUCCAGAUGUGCCAUAGUACAAAGACGAAGAAUUGCAGGUUUUCCCUCUUGCUGGCUAUCUAAAAAGGAGACAAUUGUAGACCAAUAGGUGAUAAUAUCCAUGGGAUCCAAGAGACUAGAACGCAGACAUAAGGGAGAAUUGAUCCAUACUGCACUAGCUUUGGGGCAAAGGAAGAAAAGAUAUAUGAUAGCAAGUUUCUAUUUCACCAUACCAUUUACAAGACGGAUCAAUAUGGGGAAGCCGGCAAUGAAGAAGAUCAUUAAUAGGCAAGUAAUUCCUCAACAAC
Molecule: long non-coding RNA, 458 nt
Filed under: Manihot esculenta (cassava)
Lineage: Eukaryota; Viridiplantae; Streptophyta; Magnoliopsida; Malpighiales; Euphorbiaceae
Description: long non-coding RNA (MESC_LNC004866)
Source: RNAcentral